UGCUAUGUGGUGUAGUGGUUUGAGCGUGACUGGAACUCUGAAGACCAGGGUUCGAUUCUCAGCUUGGCCA
Non-coding RNA from Phrynosoma platyrhinos (Desert horned lizard), 70 nucleotides. NCBI's taxonomy places the organism in Eukaryota, Metazoa, Chordata, Lepidosauria, Squamata, Phrynosomatidae. The record is from the annotation of a GenBank genome assembly.